This is a non-coding RNA of Pelobates cultripes (western spadefoot toad), 240 nucleotides long. NCBI's taxonomy places the organism in Eukaryota, Metazoa, Chordata, Amphibia, Anura, Pelobatidae. The record is from the annotation of a GenBank genome assembly.
UCAUGACUUCCGGGAACUCUGGUGGAGGCCUUAAAUUGCCUUAUGGUUAAUCCAGCUGUGCAUACUUUGUAUGGGUGAUAAAUGAUAUUGUUAUUAGAAACUGUUUUUGCUACUUGCUUCAAUUUAUAUAAUACUAUAUUUGGUUCAUUUUGUAACAGCUGAAUCUUAGCAAGGGUACAUUCAAUUGCUAAUUACCUGGAUCUCUUCAUCCAAGGUGUAAUCUAGGCAAAACGAUGUUGG